AGUACGACUCUCGACAACGGAUAUCUCGGUUCUCGCAUCAAUGAAGAACGUAGCGAAAUGCGAUACCUGGUGUGAAUUGCAGAAUCCCACGAACCACCGAGUCUUUGAAUGCAAGUUGCGCCCGAGGCCACCCGGUCGAGGGCACGCCUGCCUGGGCAUCACGC
This 164-nucleotide ribosomal RNA is filed under the name Astrocaryum murumuru. RNAcentral describes it as "5.8S ribosomal RNA". It matches the Rfam family "5.8S ribosomal RNA". From Rfam's summary of the family: 5.8S ribosomal RNA (5.8S rRNA) is a component of the large subunit of the eukaryotic ribosome. It is transcribed by RNA polymerase I as part of the 45S precursor that also contains 18S and 28S rRNA. Functionally, it is thought that 5.8S rRNA may be involved in ribosome translocation. Lineage: Eukaryota; Viridiplantae; Streptophyta; Magnoliopsida; Arecales; Arecaceae. The record is from RNAcentral.